This 376-nucleotide unclassified non-coding RNA is filed under the name soil metagenome. Its description in RNAcentral is "partial contains 5.8S ribosomal RNA, internal transcribed spacer 2, and large subunit ribosomal RNA". The stretch from base 1 to 120 matches the Rfam family "5.8S ribosomal RNA", at positions 35 to 154 of the family's 154-position model. The record is from RNAcentral.
GAUGAAGAACGUAGCGAAAUGCGAUAAGUAAUGUGAAUUGCAGAAUUCAGUGAAUCAUCGAAUCUUUGAAUGCAUCUUGCGCUCCUUGGUAUUCUGAGGAGCAUGCCUGUUUGAGUGUCAUUAAAUUCUCAACUACACUGACUUUGAAUUGGUGUGGCUUGGAUUUGGGGGGAAAAUUGUUGUGGGCUUUUUGUAUAGUCUGCUCCCCUGAAAUUGAUUAGCGGUACCUUUGUGGAACUGUCUACAGGUGUGAUAAUUAUCUACAUCUUAGACAUCUGCUGGAAUGCUGCUUUCUAAACCUUACUUGUAUUGACAAUCUUGACCUCAAAUCAGGUAGGACUACCCGCUGAACUUAAGCAUAUCAAUAAGCGGAGGA